ACUCUCCAUGUAUCUUAUCCCUCGGAUCUAACUAUUGAUCUGAGUGGCUGAAAAAGGAGGAGAGUAAAGCUGACGUGGACUUGCAGUCUCUUUUGAUGUACAAGUUCAUUUCAAACCCAU
This 120-nucleotide small nucleolar RNA is filed under the name Echinops telfairi (small Madagascar hedgehog). Its description in RNAcentral is "Small nucleolar RNA SNORA61 (ENSETEG00000025182.1)". The record is from RNAcentral. Lineage: Eukaryota; Metazoa; Chordata; Mammalia; Afrosoricida; Tenrecidae.